GCUGGUUUAGCUAUCUGGUGAAAGCACCCGACUCAUAAUCGGAUACAGGCGAGUUCGAUCCUCGCAACCAGCA
Molecule: transfer RNA, 73 nt
Filed under: Synechococcus phage S-PM2
Lineage: Duplodnaviria; Heunggongvirae; Uroviricota; Caudoviricetes; Pantevenvirales; Kyanoviridae
Rfam family: tRNA
About the family: Transfer RNA (tRNA) molecules are approximately 80 nucleotides in length. Their secondary structure includes four short double-helical elements and three loops (D, anti-codon, and T loops).
Source: Rfam by way of RNAcentral